RNAcentral lists this ribosomal RNA (653 nucleotides) under Xanthocampoplex sp. BF002404. RNAcentral describes it as "eukaryotic LSU rRNA". It matches the Rfam family "Eukaryotic large subunit ribosomal RNA", at positions 581 to 827 of the family's 3401-position model. The record is from RNAcentral. Lineage: Eukaryota; Metazoa; Arthropoda; Insecta; Hymenoptera; Ichneumonidae.
UUCNAAUGGAGAGAUUCAUCGUCRGCGAUCCCGGCUAUGNNNNNNNNNNUCGCGAUGUCCGAUUCGCGAAAAGCGCGGGCACGCGUUCGCGUAAUUCAUUUGCCGGGCGUCGUCGUCGUGCACUUCUCCCCUAGUAGGACGUCGCGACCCGUUGGGUGUCGGUCUACGACCCGGAUGGGCGUCCGUCAUGUGCAACGCUUAACGGCGCGUCAUAUGGCGGCCCCCGGUUGUCCGACCAGCUGCCCGGCGGUACUCGCACGGUAUUGGGCCGCAAUUUGAAAUUGCGUCCGGCCCGCCGCAAGCGGAGGUCAGUGCUUCCCGGAUGUACGGACUUAGAGCCGUCACCGGGCCUGGCCAGCUGUUGGCCGGCGGUGUCCUGGGACUGGCUCUUGAACGAAAUAUACCGGUCGGCGACGCUACUGCUUUGGGUACUCUCAGGACCCGUCUUGAAACACGGACCAAGGAGUCUAACAUGUGCGCGAGUCAUUGGGAUCUGUAAAGCCUAAAGGCGCAAUGAAAGUAAAGGUAGGCCAUGACGGCAACCGAGGGAGGAUGGACCGCGUCACGAUGCGGCCCCGCACUCCCGGGGCGUCUCGUUCUCAUUACGAGAAGAGGCGCACCCAGAGCGUACACGUUGGGACCCGAAAGAUGGU